RNAcentral lists this ribosomal RNA (746 nucleotides) under uncultured bacterium. Its description in RNAcentral is "partial 16S ribosomal RNA". It matches the Rfam family "Bacterial small subunit ribosomal RNA", at positions 56 to 797 of the family's 1533-position model. The record is from RNAcentral.
UGCAAGUCGAACGGCAGCACGGGAGCAAUCCUGGUGGCGAGUGGCGAACGGGUGAGYWWUAUAUCGGAACGUGCCCAGUCGUGGGGGAUAACGCAGCGAAAGCUGUGCUAAUACCGCAUACGAUCUCUGGAUGAAAGCGGGGGACCGCAAGGCCUCGCGCGAUUGGAGCGGCCGAUAUCAGAUUAGCUAGUUGGKGGGGUAAAAGCCCACCAAGGCGACGAUCUGUAGCUGGUCUGAGAGGACGACCAGCCACACUGGAACUGAGACACGGUCCAGACUCCUACGGGAGGCAGCAGUGGGGAAUUUUGGACAAUGGGCGCAAGCCUGAUCCAGCAAUGCCGCGUGCAGGAUGAAGGCCUUCGGGUUGUAAACUGCUUUUGUACGGAACGAAACGGCUCCUUUUAAUACAAGGGGCUAAUGACGGUACCGUAAGAAUAAGCACCGGCUAACUACGUGCCAGCAGCCGCGGUAAUACGUAGGGUGCGAGCGUUAAUCGGAAUUACUGGGCGUAAAGCGUGCGCAGGCGGUUAUAUAASACAGAUGUGAAAUCCCCGGGCUCAACCUGGGACCUGSAUUUGUGACUGUAUAGCUAGAGUACGGUAGAGGGGGAUGGAAUUCCGCGUGUARCAGUGAAAUGCGUAGAURUGCGGAGGAACRMCGAUGGCKAAKGCAAKCCCCUGGACCUGUACKGACRCUCAURCRCRAAAGCGUGGGGAGCAAWSAGGAKUAKAUACCCUGGUAGKCCA